UACGUAGGGGGCAAGCGUUGUCCGGAAUGAUUGGGCGUAAAGGGCGCGUAGGCGGCCAUGUAAGUCUGGAGUGAAAGUCCUUCUUUUAAGGAGGGAAUUGCUUUGGAUACUGUAUGGCUUGAGUGCUGGAGAGGUCAUCGGAAUUCCCAGUGUAGCGGUGAAAUGCGUAGAGAUUGGGAAGAACACCAGUGGCGAAGGCGGGUGACUGGACAGUAACUGACGCUGAGGCGCGAAAGUGUGGGGAG
RNAcentral lists this ribosomal RNA (245 nucleotides) under uncultured bacterium. RNAcentral's name for it is "partial 16S ribosomal RNA". It matches the Rfam family "Bacterial small subunit ribosomal RNA", at positions 524 to 768 of the family's 1533-position model. The record is from RNAcentral.